RNAcentral lists this unclassified non-coding RNA (312 nucleotides) under Bombus terrestris (buff-tailed bumblebee). RNAcentral's name for it is "misc RNA ENSBTSG00005026840.1". Lineage: Eukaryota; Metazoa; Arthropoda; Insecta; Hymenoptera; Apidae. The record is from RNAcentral.
GUCGACGUGGAAGCCCCGAGAGUUGUAUCGGCACUGUUUGGACACUCUCUCGACAGAUUGAAAUUUCAUUUCGACGGAAUUCCGAUGGAUAUUGGCUCAGCGCGAUCAGAUCGAUUUCCAAGUGGAUUUACGACUGUUUGAAAAAUGUUCGUCGCCGAUGGAAGAGGAUUUUAUAAUUUUUGCCGAAGGCGCUGCCACUCGGGGUUAGCGUUCGAUACCUCCCGCAGGAACGAGAAAGGAAGCCGAUGGUUGGCAGAACGCCAGACGACACCUCCAACUUCUUUCUUUCGCUUGUAUUCUACACACACCAAC